GGGGAAUCUUCCGCAAUGGGCGAAAGCCUGACGCAGCGACACCGCGUGGGGGAAGAAGGCCUCAGGGUUGUAAACCCCUUUUCUGGGGGAAGAGAUAGGACGGUACCUCAGGAAUAAGCAUCGGCUAACUACGUGCCAGCAGCCGCGGUAAUACGUAGGAUGCAAGCGUUGUCCGGAUUUACUGGGCGUAAAGGGUGUGUAGGCGGCAUGGUAAGUCUCAUGUGAAAUCUCCCGGCUCAACUGGGAGGGGUCAUGGGAUACUGCCAAGCUGGAGGGCAGCAGAGGAAAGCGGAAUUCCGGGAGUAGUGGUGGAAUGCGUAGAUACCCGGAGGAACACCAGAGGCGAAGGCGGCUUUCUGGGCUGUACCUGACGCUGAGACACGAAAGCGUGGGGAGCAAACCGGAUUAGAUACCCGGGUAGUCCACGCCCUAAACGAUGGAUACUAGAUAUAGGGGGUAUCGACCCCUCCUGUGUCGGAGUUAACGCGAUAAGUAUCCCGCCUGGGGAGUACGGCCGCAAAGGCUAAAACUCAAAGGAAUUGACCGGUCCCCGCACAAAGCGGCGGAGCGUGUGGUUUAAUUCGAUGAUAAGCGAAGAACCUUACCUGGGCUUGACAUGCAUUUGCCAGCCCGUGAAAACGGGUCUUCUUUCGAGACAGAUGCACAGAUGUUGCAUGGCUGUCGUCAGCUCGUG
This 694-nucleotide ribosomal RNA is filed under the name uncultured marine bacterium. RNAcentral describes it as "bacterial SSU rRNA". It matches the Rfam family "Bacterial small subunit ribosomal RNA", at positions 356 to 1064 of the family's 1533-position model. The record is from RNAcentral.